GACGAACCGUGCGAACGUUGUUCGGAAUCACUGGGCUUAAAGGGCGCGUAGGCGGGCAUCAUAGCCAAGGGUGAAAGCCCCCGGCUCAACCGGGGAAGGGCCUUUGGAACUGGAUGCCUCGAGGGGUGCAGGGGCGUGCGGAACUCAGGGUGGAGCGGUGAAAUGCGUAGAUAUCCUGAGGAACACCGGUGGCGAAGGCGGCACGCUGGACACCUGCUGACGCUGAGGCGCGAAAGCCAGGGGAGCAAACGGG
This 253-nucleotide ribosomal RNA is filed under the name uncultured bacterium. RNAcentral's name for it is "partial 16S ribosomal RNA". It matches the Rfam family "Bacterial small subunit ribosomal RNA", at positions 524 to 776 of the family's 1533-position model. The record is from RNAcentral.